CAGCAGCCGCGGUAAUACCGGCAGCUCAAGUGGUAGCCGCGAUUAUUGGGCCUAAAGCGUUCGUAGCCGGAUAAGUAAGUCUUUGGUUAAAUCCUACAACUCAACUGUGGGAAAUCUAGGGAUACUACUUGUCUUGAGACCGGGAGAGGUUAGAGGUACUCCUAGGGUAGGGGUGAAAUCCUGUAAUCCUAGGGGGACCACCUGUGGCGAAGGCGUCUAACUGGAACGGGUCUGACGGUGAGGGACGAAACCUAGGGGAGCGAGCCGGAUUAGAUACCCGGGUAGUCCUAGGCGUAAAUGAUGCGAGUUAAGGGUGGGGACAUCUACGAGAUGGCCCUGUGCUGUAGGGUAGCCGUUAAACUCGCCGCCUGGGGAGUACGGUCGCAAGGCUGAAACUUAAAGGAAUUGGCGGGGGAGCACCACAAGAGGUGGAGGCUGCGGUUCAAUUGGACUCAACGCCGGAAAACUCACCGGGAGCGACAGCAGUAUGAUUGCCAGGUUGACGACCUUGCUUGACAAGCUGAGAGGAGGUGCAUGGCC
RNAcentral lists this ribosomal RNA (540 nucleotides) under uncultured archaeon. Its description in RNAcentral is "bacterial SSU rRNA". It matches the Rfam family "Archaeal small subunit ribosomal RNA", at positions 459 to 999 of the family's 1478-position model. The record is from RNAcentral.